RNAcentral lists this ribosomal RNA (796 nucleotides) under uncultured bacterium. Its description in RNAcentral is "bacterial SSU rRNA". It matches the Rfam family "Bacterial small subunit ribosomal RNA", at positions 154 to 927 of the family's 1533-position model. The record is from RNAcentral.
AAAGUGGUGCUAAUACCGAAUGUUGUAUUGGAUCUGCAUGGAUUUGAUACUAAAGGUGGCCUCUAUAUAUAAGCUAUCACUAGAAGAUGGGUCUGCGUCUGAUUAGCUAGUUGGUGAGGUAAUGGCUCACCAAGGCGAUGAUCAGUAGCCGGUCUGAGAGGAUGAACGGCCACACUGGGACUGAGACACGGCCCAGACUCCUACGGGAGGCAGCAGUGGGAAUCUUCCGCAAUGGACGAAAGUCUGACGGAGCAACGCCGCGUGAGUGAAGAAGGUUUUCGGAUCGUAAAGCUCUGUCUUUGAGGACGAAUGUGUCUAAUGUGAAUAAUGUCAGAUAAUGACGGUACUCGAGGAGGAAGCCACGGCUAACUACGUGCCAGCAGCCGCGGUAAUACGUAGGUGGCAAGCGUUGUCCGGAAUUAUUGGGCGUAAAGCGCGCGCAGGCGGGAUAUUAAGUCUGUUUUAAAAGUUCGGGGCUCAACCCCGUGAUGGAAUGGAAACUAAUAUUCUUGAGUGCAGGAGAGGAAAGUGGAAUUCCCAGUGUAGCGGUGAAAUGCGUAGAUAUUGGGAGGAACACCAGUGGCGAAGGCGACUUUCUGGACUGUGUCUGACGCUGAGGCGCGAAAGCCAGGGGAGUGAACGGGAUUAGAUACCCCGGUAAUCCUGGCCGUAAACGAUGGGUACUAGGUGUAGGAGGUAUCGACCCCUUCUGUGCCGGAGUUAACGCAAUAAGUACCCCGCCUGGGGAGUACGGCCGCAAGGUUGAAACUCAAAGGAAUUGACGGGGGCCCGCACA